UACAGAUCUUCAGCUUCCAGCAACAGAGCCAGACAUCAACAAUCGCCUUGAGUCUCUGUGUCUGAGCAUGACAGAGCACGCCUUGGGAGACGGUGCUGACCGCACAUCAACGAUAUGAAGCGGAGACCUGAGCGAGAGCAGUGGGACGGCGCGGGUUCACGAGGCUCUCUCACGAUAAGUCACCUCGAGGCCACCAGCCCUCCUGUCCCCUCUGCUUGUAGCCAACGGUAGAGCUCAACCAAAGGAUCGGGGCGGGAUCCAAGACCCCGCAGAGAGCGCCCUCAUCAAACGGCUAACGCUAUCACAUUGGCACCGUCCAUCGGGUCAGAAAAAAAACACUUCCUGCUCCGCCAGCAUCUGGGUGAGGAGAGAGGACAAGCCUUGAACACGGCUUGGACAGUGUGUGAACAGCGCCCACCCCCUGACCCCCACCCUCCGGCAGGCCAGAAGCAGUACUGCAGGCCAGCAGAAGGGAGACGCUGGCCUGAGACGCUGGCCUGCGGAUAACACUGAGGCCCCCCCCAGCACAUCAUUGACCACAACUCGUGGCAUUCUUCAAAUUCGUUACAGUACCUCAGAGCCAAAAACAAGACGAGCUAAGAGGAAGUUUGGGAUUUCCUUGACUGUAUUCGUAGAGCUCGGGAAGGUCCUCUUGCUCAGUAUUUGGGGGGGGGGGAAACAAAAUCAUUUAUUUGUAUUGUAUGUAUUUAUUGUUUACAUAAUGAUGCUACUUUCAAAGGGUACAAAAACAUGUAUGAAUUUCAGGUAUGAAUCGUGAAAUUGUCUGUAAAGCCUUGGCUGUCUACCAGCUUUACGUCCCGAGUAGCCAUCACGCUAGUUUACAACCAACGUGCUUAUUCUUUAUUUUAGCAGCCAAGACAUGUCGGCUUGAACAAGAGAGAGAACGAGAGAGGAGGGAGAGAAAGAGGCAGGUGUGUGGAGAUGAGAGGUAGGAGACAGACACAGGAAGUAGUAGAAGAGAGAGUGGAGCUGAGGUGAAACUGGAAAGGGAAGCGGAUGUUUAAAGGAGGAAGGCGUCAGAGGCGGGACCUCUGAUCAGCCGAAGACGACCGAGGAAGAUGACGCCAUGUCUAAUCAUGUUGUUCACGUGAGCGAGUGUCGGAGGAAGUGAGUUUGGCAGCGGUCAGUUACACAUUGUUUAUCCACAGCAUGUACUGUAUGAACUCUUUUGAAUUCAGAGCCUUUAAAGGCAACAAUACAUUGAAAAUGUAGAGUUUUUUUUAUAAAUGGGAGAUUGAUAUUGUCAGUGGGAUCUGUCUGCAUGUUCAGAUACUGGGUUUAGUUUGUUUUUUUAAAGCAGGGUGAUAUGCUUAAGCUGCAUGUUACAACUAAAUAUCUUUUUUGGGGGGUACAGGAAGAUUGUGAAAUGUGGAGAAGACGACAGAGAAAACAAAACAAGAGGGCUAUUUGGUUUCCACUCAGACCAUGUUGCAACAUGGGAGAAAUCACACACUGUCAAUCCAUGAAGGGUAGCUUUCCCAGAGAUUGUCUCAUUAGUGCUUACCUCCACCUGCUGGCCGACCGCAGUCAGAGCGGGGCAGACGCCUGUGAACACGCAGGCAGAUUAUACACACAUCAUUGGUGAGCGUUAUAAUUAGGAAAUGUUAAUGCUGCAGGAAAUCCCUCACAGAUCGCGGUGUCACAUGGUCUUCUGUCUGCUCCGGGCCGCUAUAGCAUUUAUUUUCUUUCUUUUUUAGAUACUGACUCUUCUGGUUAUUCUGUGUCUUAAUAUUUAUCCUCCGAUUAUUGUGUCUGGUAGACAGACUUCAUAAGAACAGAUUGAUGGAAAAUAAGCUGGUAUGAAAACUCUCCAACUAAAUGGUCAUCAUCCAGGGUUAUUGAUUAUUAUUGUUUAGUUUCUUUAGUUUGUUGCAAUUCUAUAGUACUUCCUUUGUAUCCUGCACUUGAUAUGAUAAUGUGAUACACUAAAAUCCAGCUUUGGAGUCGGAGCAGAUUGGAGGCAGAAGUGGAGCGGUAGAACCACAACAAGUGGCCAUUAUCCCACCGCUUUUGAGUCUGAUGGUGGAUCUGGAGCUGAAGAUGCUUUGUCUUCUCGUGUCGCUCAUCGCUAGAGGACCAUGCCAGGGUUUUUGCAUGUUUUGCUCAUCUACAAACCUUUUAAAACACUCUGUGUUACUAUAAACUAUACUUAUUUUAUGUGUUUCAAACCUUCAAGAUUGCACAGGAAAGAAAAUCAUGACAGAAAUAAAAAACACUACAGUACAAUACAUUCAGUGUGUGUCUAAAGAGCUAAAACAUGCAGAUAGACUGUGAUGGUGCCUGAGAGUGGAUCAGAUGCAGUGAUGGCGGCUUGAAGCUGCAGUAUGGAUCAGUGCACACACACACACACACACACACACACACACACACACACACACACACACACACAGAGGACAGUGUAUGUGUGUUAGUGGCAACAGUGCACUGCUUCAGUCGUGUGUUUUCUGCACCUUGAGUCUGUAGCCAAUCAGAAGUGGUCCGUACGUUUGAAGAUGAAGAUUCCACCAAAGCAUGAACUGAUGUCUCACCUUUCUGUCUGACGCUCUUCGCUGAGAAGCAUCGGAGCCUGUUCCGAUGUCACUGCCAUAUGAAUCAGUACUUAAAGUAGAUACAAUUAUUUAUUCUUUUUUUCAUAAUUUUUGCAGAGGUGAUACUUUUACUCAUUUAGGUGUAUUAUUAUUUAAAGUACCAUAUGUAUUAACAUGUUAUGGCUGGUGACCAUACGUACAUCUCAAAUAUUAACAUAGUUAUUGUUGACUUUGACUGUUAACUUUUCUUUCUCGUCGUUGCUGUUGUUAAACUAUAAUCUUGUUUGUAUCUAUCAGUGUCAUGUUGAGAUUUGUUUUCAUGUGAACUCGGAGCGUGAUGCGUGUUCAGUUACCAAAUUCACUUCAGAAGAACUGUCAGCAAACAGAACCAGCGGGGUGUUGUUGUAGGCUUUGGCAUGCCAGGAAGUAGACUGGUCCAUUGUGACCUAGUUACCACCUCACUGCAUGGUCCUGAGGUGAACAAUCUAGGUUGAAAUGUGUGUUACUUUAAAGAAUGAGGCUGGCAUUAUUCGACAUAUCUUCAUGUCAACAAAUCCUAUGAAAAGAUCAAAUUCUAAAGAUGUAGACUUUCAAAAACUUGGAGGAAACACUGCAUUUGUUGGGGACUAUUUCCAGCAGCGGAUGAAUCUAUAUUUGGUGCUAUGGAUGAUUUGAGGCAGUAGGACAUUGUAUGAUGGAUUGACUGAAAUGAACUACAAUGGUUUUGCAUUGUAAGGAAGGAACAUGUCAACCAAUGCAACAGUGAGGCUUAUCGAUCUGUGUUUAAUCAUUUGAUAAGUGUUAUAGCAAAGAAGUUAUAUCAGGAGUUGAUACACAGUGUUGGUUUUGGUCUUUUCAUAGGAUUUGUUUAUGUUAAAAAUAGUAGAGAGCAUCACCAGACCUGUCCUUUACGCCUCAUGUGUUAAGAUAAACCAACCUGCAGUCUGUAAUGUAAUCAAAGGGAUUAUUGAAACUGUCGUACACUUGCAGUAUUUUGAUUUACUUCACCUUGCCAUGUUUGAGUUAUAAAGGUGUUGAAACAAAGUUUUUAGUUUUGCAUAAAAACACUACUUUUUGUCUGUGACUGACAGCAUUCAUAACGUGAGUUUAUGGGAUGUUUCUAUGCGUGCAGAGUAACAUAGUAACGUUACAUGUUGUGUAUUUGCAGUCACAGAGCGUCUGUGUGACGGGACAGUGGAGAGUUACAGCUCUGAGGGUCAUUACACAUCUCUUCAAACCAAAUGCUUUAUUUGUUCUAAUGCAUAUCAGCUCUGUGGGAGUCCAGGAGUGCUAACGCUGUGCUCACUGCAGUAUUAACCGUUAGAUAUCGCCUUGAUAUUCCAAAAAAAACAUUUAAUGUACUUUAAGUUGAGACAUAUAUGCUGUUUUGUAUCUUUUACUUUUUGUCAUAGGUUCUGCAGUUUUAGUAUGUUGAUAUGGGAUGCCAAGAUUUCUCUUUUUUCUCUGUGUGUUCAGCAGCAUCUAUUCUGUAACUAAGGUUACCGCUUGACUGCUCCUUUAUUUUAUUUUGUUUUAUUUUAUCAAAGAGCCGAUGUCCUGUAUUGACUGCAGGCUUACAUAUAUAUUUGACAAAAGAAUAUUGUAUGUUUAAUAAUAAAAAAACUCAAAAAGACAAAAAAGUGCAGAAAAAAAGAAAUGGAGAAAAUUGAAAGAAAGAAAUGUGUAAUUUAUAUUUCCAAAGUGCAUGCACGAGGCGGGGAAGGUCAUAUUUAGAAUAACAAAUGGCAGUGCCUUUUUUUGUACUCGAGACAUUCACCCCAAAUGUAAAUGUUUUUAUAUAGACUUUAAAAGCUGUUGUGUUACAGGAUGAAACGGCUGUGUCGGGCUACACUCACACUGCAGCUGCACGUCCCCAUUCAGACCUCCCCCCCAAGGUGUUAUGUAGAUAAAGAACAGAUGAAAGUGUUAACUCAUCCAAGGAUUGUCUAGAUGUAAACCUGAUCCACAUGAACAAAUGAAAGAGAGUUAUUUUAGAUUCGAGGAGACAACUUAUAAUAAGCUGACUAUGUUCUUAAUUAAUUUGUCAUUCAUUCGGACUCAAAUCUGUAGUCAAAAUGUCUGUUAAAUUCUUUCCAUUGACUUUUGCUUGACCAAGAUGAGAUUAAAAUGAGAAGAGAAAGGAAUCGUCUAAUAUUUCCUCCAUGUGUUUAACACUUAGUGUUCAUGUAGACAGUACAUCACUGUGGCAGCAAUACUGACCAUAUCAAGCAGAACCUGAAACCAUGAACACUGACUUAUACUUUCUUAUGAUACUCAAUUGUAUUUAGAUUAGCUUGGUCUUUACACGUAGACCAAUCAUCUAAAUGAAUCCUCUGAGGACACAAAGUUGAGGAUCUGGAGAGAAUAUGAUCAAGUUUAAUCAAAAUCCAAUUCAUAAAUCAAAGCGAAACUCAAUAAGUGAUGUCCAGUUUACUGCACAUGGUUGAAAAUAAGUAUUGUGAACUUUAGGCCACAUUUAAAGCAUCUUCAUGUUUGAUGUUUGCUACUCUCAAGAGCUAAAUGUGAUCAAACACAAAGUUGAUCUGAAUGUAGCGUGGGGGGUGCAGUGUGAGCGAGGCCCGGGCGGUGAACUGGGUCUGUUGUUUUCUGUCCUCUGUAGGUACUUAAUGCUGAUAUAAAGUUAUCAAUUGCUCUGGUCUGUACAAACAUGUGUGAAUGAGUGUGAAUGUGAGUGUGUGUGAAAACAUUCAAGUGUUAUUCAAUGUGUCUUGCUGUAUCUGUGUGGCGACGUACCAGAAUGCUGUGACUUGGCAUGCCCCCAUUAUAAAUAAAGAAAAGUUGUAACU
This is a long non-coding RNA of Notothenia coriiceps (black rockcod), 5356 nucleotides long. RefSeq lists it as uncharacterized. The record is from RefSeq and is a predicted model, not a curated record. NCBI's taxonomy places the organism in Eukaryota, Metazoa, Chordata, Actinopteri, Perciformes, Nototheniidae. The transcript has 2 exons.